CAAUUAAUAAUUUAAAAAUAGAAUAAUAAUUUUGGAGAUUAUAAGUAUAAAUAUAUUUAUUUAAUUGA
RNAcentral lists this transfer RNA (68 nucleotides) under Hydropsyche angustipennis. RNAcentral's name for it is "tRNA-Pro". The record is from RNAcentral. Lineage: Eukaryota; Metazoa; Arthropoda; Insecta; Trichoptera; Hydropsychidae.